RNAcentral lists this ribosomal RNA (253 nucleotides) under uncultured bacterium. RNAcentral's name for it is "partial 16S ribosomal RNA". It matches the Rfam family "Bacterial small subunit ribosomal RNA", at positions 524 to 776 of the family's 1533-position model. The record is from RNAcentral.
GACGGAGGAUGCAAGUGUUAUCCGGAAUCACUGGGCGUAAAGCGUCUGUAGGUGGUCAAAUAAGUCAACUGUUAAAUCUUGAGGCUUAACCUCAAAAUCGCAGUCGAAACUAUUAGACUAGAGUAUAGUAGGGGUAAAGGGAAUUUCCAGUGGAGCGGUGAAAUGCUUAGAUAUUGGGAAGAACACCAACGGCGAAGGCACUUUACUGGGCCAGCACUGACACUGAGAGACGAAAGCUAGGGGAGCAAACGGG